RNAcentral lists this ribosomal RNA (253 nucleotides) under uncultured bacterium. RNAcentral describes it as "partial 16S ribosomal RNA". It matches the Rfam family "Bacterial small subunit ribosomal RNA", at positions 524 to 776 of the family's 1533-position model. The record is from RNAcentral.
UACGGGGGGGGCAAGCGUUGUUCGGAAUUACUGGGCGUAAAGGACUCGUAGGCGGCCAACUAAGUCAGACGUGAAAUCCCUCGGCUUAACCGGGGAACUGCAUCUGAUACUGGAUGGCUUGAGAUUGGGAGAGGGAUGCGGAAUUCCAGGUGUAGCGGUGAAAUGCGUAGAUAUCUGGAGGAACACCGGUGGCGAAGGCGGCAUCCUGGACCAACACUGACGCUGAGGAGCGAAAGCGUGGGGAGCGAACAGG